GAUGAACGCUGGCGGCGUGCCUAAUACAUGCAAGUCGAGCGAACGGCCGCGAAGUUUGCUUGUCUGACGUUUGCGGCGGGCGGGUGAAUCACGCGUGGAUCCCCUACUUAUAUGUCUGAGAUCACUUCGGGACAGCGGAGCUAAUCCCGGAUAAUCUUUUGCUCCGCGUGGUUCAAUGGUGAAUGUCGGUCUUGCUGUCUCUUCUAGAUGGAUCCGCGCUGCAUUGGCUAGUUGGUAGGGUAACGGGUUACCAAGGCAACGAUGCCUAUCCGACGUGACAGGGUGAUCGGCCACACGGGAGGAGAGACAGGGACCAGACUCCUACGAGAGGCAGCAGUAGGGAAUCGGCCGCAAUGGGGGAAAGCCUGACGGAGCAACGCCGCGUGAGUGAUGAAGGUGCUCGGAUCGGAAAACUCUGUUAUUAGGGAAGAACAGAUGUGGAAUUAACCGUGCACAUCGUGACGGUACCGAAUCAGAAAGCCACGGCUAACUACGUG
Molecule: ribosomal RNA, 497 nt
Filed under: uncultured bacterium
Lineage: Bacteria
Description: partial 16S ribosomal RNA
Rfam family: Bacterial small subunit ribosomal RNA
Source: RNAcentral